CUCCGUUGGGAAAUUUUGACAUCUCCGAGUUCAGUUUACCACUUGCACAUAUGUGGACUACCUUUUUUCGAUCUAGCGCAUAUACAAUAAAGGUUGAUGCUGUCAUGGCAACAAAACUGUUACUCUUUUCAUCCUCAAGUUUUCAUCAUAAGUAUUUAGCUCGCAGAAGUGUAUUUAAUUUUUAAGGCAGAAUGCACCAUGAAUCACAACUUAUGGAGAUUUCAUGGCACAUUGACAAUGCAUUAUUAGGAGAACAGUCAAGCUGCAGAUUCUGGAUGAAUUGACAAAAUUAAGAAAAAAUUUGGCUAGAUCCAAUAUCACCCAAGUGGCCUUGAAGCUGAUACCGAGUAGAGGUGCAGACCUGCAAUUUAACUGCUUCCUUCAGC
Molecule: long non-coding RNA, 386 nt
Organism: Nicotiana attenuata
Lineage: Eukaryota; Viridiplantae; Streptophyta; Magnoliopsida; Solanales; Solanaceae
Exons: 3
Source: RefSeq, a predicted model, not a curated record